UCAGCAGCCGCGGUAAUACAUAGGGGCGAGCGUUAUCCGGAAUUAUUGGGCGUAAAGGGUGCGUAGGCGGUUUAAUAAGUCUCUAGUUUAAUUUCAACGCUUAACGUUGUCCUGCUAGAGAAACUGUUUAACUAGAGUGAGAUAGAGGUAAGCGGAAUUCCAUGUGUAGCGGUAAAAUGUGUAAAUAUAUGGAGGAACACCAGAGGCGUAGGCGGCUUACUGGGUCUUUACUGACGCUGAUGCACGAAAGCGUGGGGAGCAAACAGGAUUAGAUACCCUGGUAGUCCACGCCGUAAACUAUGAGUACUAAGUGUCGGGGUUAAACUCGGUACUGAAGUUAACACAUUAAGUACUCCGCCUGAGUAGUACGUACGCAAGUAUGAAACUUAAAGGAAUUGACGGGAUCCCGCACAAGCGGUGGAUCAUGUUGUUUAAUUCGAAGAUACACGAAAAACCUUACCAGGUCUUGACAUACUCUGCAAAGCUAUAGAAAUAUAGUGGAGGUUAUCAGGGAUACAGGUGGUGCAUGGUUGUCGUCAGCUCGUGUCGUGAGAUGUUAGGUUAAGUUCUAAAACGAGCGCAACCCCUGUCGUUAAUUGCCAGCACGUUAUGGUGGGGACUUUAGCGAGACUGCCAAUGAAAAAUUGGAGGAAGGUGGGGAUUACGUCAAAUCAUCAUGCCCCUUAUGAUCUGGGCUACAAACGUGAUACAAUGGCUAUUACAAAGAGUAGCUGAAACGCGAGUUUUCGGCAAAUCUCAAAAAAAUAGUCUCAGUUCGGAUUGAAGUCUGCAACUCGACUUCAUGAAGUUGGAAUCGCUAGUAAUCGCGAAUCAGCAUGUCGCGGUGAAUACGUUCUCGGGGUUUGUACACACCGCCCGUCAAACCACGAAAGUGGACAAUACCCGAAAGCGACAGCCUAACUGCGUAAGC
RNAcentral lists this ribosomal RNA (931 nucleotides) under 'Cocos nucifera' lethal yellowing phytoplasma. Its description in RNAcentral is "bacterial SSU rRNA". It matches the Rfam family "Bacterial small subunit ribosomal RNA", at positions 508 to 1447 of the family's 1533-position model. The record is from RNAcentral. Lineage: Bacteria; Bacillati; Mycoplasmatota; Mollicutes; Acholeplasmatales; Acholeplasmataceae.